This 454-nucleotide ribosomal RNA is filed under the name uncultured bacterium. Its description in RNAcentral is "partial 16S ribosomal RNA". It matches the Rfam family "Bacterial small subunit ribosomal RNA", at positions 28 to 507 of the family's 1533-position model. The record is from RNAcentral.
GAUGAACGCUGACAGCAUGCUUAACACAUGCAAGUCUACUUGAACUUCGGUUUGGGUGGCGGACGGGUGAGUAACGCGUAAAGAACUUGCCUCACAGAUAGGGACAACAUUUGGAAACGAAUGCUAAUACCUGAUAUUAUGAUUUUAGGGCAUCCUAGAAUUAUGAAAGCUAUAUGCACUGUGAGAGAGCUUUGCGUCCCAUUAGCUAGUUGGAGAGGUAACGGCUCACCAAGGCGAUGAUGGGUAGCCGGCCUGAGAGGGUGAUCGGCCACAAGGGGACUGAGACACGGCCCUUACUCCUACGGGAGGCAGCAGUGGGGAAUAUUGGACAAUGGGCCAAGAGUCUGAUCCAGCAAUUCUGUGUGCACGAUGAAGUUUUUCGGAAUGUAAAGUGCUUUCAGUUGGGAAGAAAAAAAUGACGGUACCAACAGAAGAAGUGACGGCUAAAUACGUG